This is a long non-coding RNA of Gallus gallus (chicken), 1027 nucleotides long. The record is from Ensembl. Lineage: Eukaryota; Metazoa; Chordata; Aves; Galliformes; Phasianidae.
GUUGUGACUCGUGGGCAGUUUUAUCUUUCACGCUAAACAGAAAACAGAAACAGAACAGCAAGUCUUGAGUGAGAUGUAGUUCUUCUUUUCUUCUGAGAAAUGUAUACCCGAAACUAUCAACAGUCUACAGAACUGCAGUAUGACCUCCCAGUGUAGUACAUGAUGUUAUGUGAAGUGCUGAUAACAAAAACAAAAACAAAAACAAAAAAAAUCAUAAAACCAUGACUAAGGAGAAGUGAUUUCAAACUAAAAGAGAGAUUAUUUAUAUUGUAUGUAAGGAAGAAGGUUUUUACAGUCAAGGUGGUGAGAGAUUGGCACAGGUUACCCAGAGAGCUGGUGGAAAUCCCAUUGCUGGACAUACUCAAGGCCAGACUGGAUGGGGCUCUGAGCACCUGAUGGAGCUUUAGGUGUUCAAUGCAGGGGAAUUGGACUAGAUGACCUUUAAUGGUCUCUUCCUACUCAAAUGAUUCUAUGAUACUGUGAUUCUAUAAUACAGUAUGAAAUAUUCCUUCUGCCAUCUAAUGGAGUCACCAGUCUUGGAGAUGGUCUUGCCACCAAAAUCCAGGAAUGAAACUUGCCAACCUGAAGGACAGCUGUUUUAAAACUCCAGCUGGUACAAAGACACCGAAACGUAAAGCAAGAUAGGACAAGAAAUUUGGAAUGACAGAAGGUGCCUUGUCUUUUUUUUUCUAUUUUUUUUAUACCACCCGCUCACAAUUAAGACUUUAUCGCCUCCAGAUGACACACAGAAGUGCUGGUAGAACACCAUGGACAUACCUACAUUUCGUCUUUCAGCAUCUCAUAAUGGUAGGUAUUAAUGUCUUCACUUCUCUGUGAGAGAAUUGUAGGUUAAGAGCACUAUAAACCUCACAAGCAUGAUUAGCAGGAGGAGCACCCAAGACUGAUCUCUUAUUUUAAAUGGGCUUGAUUUACAUCUUCAAUAAAUCUGAAGUGGUCUGUUUAUACCACUUGACCUUUGACCUGAAUCCUGGAAUCGAAGAAUAUGAUCCAGUUUAGGAAUUCUUUG